UCGCUCCUACCGAUUGAGUGAUCCGGUGAAUAAUUCGGACCACCGCAGUGUUCAGCCCCUGAACGUUGCAGUGGAAAGUUUAGUGAACCUUAUCACUUAGAGGAAGGAG
This 109-nucleotide ribosomal RNA is filed under the name uncultured eukaryote. RNAcentral describes it as "partial small subunit ribosomal RNA". It matches the Rfam family "Eukaryotic small subunit ribosomal RNA", at positions 1676 to 1785 of the family's 1831-position model. The record is from RNAcentral.